CAGCAGCCACGGGAAUACGUAGGGUGCGAGCGUUAAUCGGAAUUACUGGGCGUAAAGCGUGCGCAGGCGGUUGUGUAAGACAGGUGUGAAAUCCCCGGGCUUAACCUGGGAACUGCGCUUGUAACUGCACAGCUAGAGUGUGGCAGAGGGGGGUGGAAUUCCGCGUGUAGCAGUGAAAUGCGUAGAUAUGCGGAGGAACACCGAUGGCGGAGGCAGCCCCCUGGGCCAACACUGACGCUCAUGCACGAAAGCGUGGGGAGCAAACAGGAUUAGAUACCCGAGUAGUCCCUGUCUCUUAUAC
This 301-nucleotide ribosomal RNA is filed under the name uncultured bacterium. Its description in RNAcentral is "partial 16S ribosomal RNA". It matches the Rfam family "Bacterial small subunit ribosomal RNA", at positions 509 to 807 of the family's 1533-position model. The record is from RNAcentral.